UUAAGUUCAGCGGGUAGUCCUACCUGAUUUGAGGUCAGAUUUCAAAGCUUUGCUUGUGACCGCCACCCUGAGAGGCAGGUCGGGGAAGGGCACAAGAGGGGAACAUCUCUGUCGAGCGAGGAUGGUACAACGCCCAGUCGAGUUCGACCCACAGGCCCAACCGAUGCAUUUGAGGGGAGCCGCCUGACGGCAGCAGAGCC
This 200-nucleotide unclassified non-coding RNA is filed under the name Trechispora sp. RNAcentral's name for it is "partial internal transcribed spacer 2". The record is from RNAcentral. Lineage: Eukaryota; Fungi; Basidiomycota; Agaricomycetes; Trechisporales; Hydnodontaceae.